CUGCAGAAGAAGCACCGGCUAACUCCGUGCCAGCAGCCGCGGUAAUACGGAGGGUGCGAGCGUUAAUCGGAAUUACUGGGCGUAAAGCGCAUGCAGGUGGUUUGUUAAGUCAGAUGUGAAAGACCCGGGGCGUCAACCUCGGAAUUGCAUUUUGAAAACUGGCAGACUAGAGUACUGUAGAGGGGGUAGAAUUUCAGGUGUAGCGGUGAAAAUGCGUAGAGAUCUGAAGGAAUACCGGUGGCGAAGGCGGCCCCCUCGGACAGAUACUGACACUCAGAUGCGAAAGCGUGGGGAGCAAACAGGAUUAGAUACCCUGGUAG
RNAcentral lists this ribosomal RNA (320 nucleotides) under uncultured bacterium. Its description in RNAcentral is "bacterial SSU rRNA". It matches the Rfam family "Bacterial small subunit ribosomal RNA", at positions 479 to 793 of the family's 1533-position model. The record is from RNAcentral.